This is an RNA transcript of Fragaria vesca subsp. vesca, 3858 nucleotides long. It is a transcript of the gene named receptor-like protein 12-like, with no coding region annotated. The transcript has 6 exons. The record is from RefSeq and is a predicted model, not a curated record. Lineage: Eukaryota; Viridiplantae; Streptophyta; Magnoliopsida; Rosales; Rosaceae.
CUAUUAUAUAAUUCCUAAGAGCUUCCUGUGAGACCAGGUGAAGCUGAUUGUCCAUUCUACCUGAAGACUGGAAGUUGCAAGUAUGGGGCCACUUGCCGGUACAACCACCCUGAUAGAUAUGAUAUCAAUCCACCUGUUGCUGCCUUCAGUUGCUGGUUUUAACUUAGAGUUGCUAAUCCAUCUGCCUUCGCUUAUCAAACUUAACCAGAUAAACUGGUGUUUGUAAUUCUCGCUACUUGAUGGAGAUGUCAUGUUCAGUUCCAGUAUCGAUUCCUUCAGCAUUAAAUUGGAUGACUUUAGAAUACCUGGACACCAAUUCAUUUCAGACUAUUCGGUACAACAUUAAAUUCGGUUUAGAAUUCUAUUAUUUCUAUACAUAUCACAAAGUUGAAGAAAAUAUUUGUAUAAUCAUGGAUAGCUUGUGUGCAAGCCUAUUCAAGCCUACCAGCUACGGCUUCCUCAUCAAAAUUAUUGCUCACUACUUGCUCUUUCUUUUUCUGGCAUCUUCACAUCUGCACGGUACUACUCAACUGUGUUUGGGUGAUGGACUUCCGAGUGCAUCAUGCAUCGAGGAAGAGAGACGAGCUCUUCUCAGCUUCAAAGCAGAUGUUAAUGAUAGUUCCGGCAGGCUUUUAUCUUGGGUGGGUCUAGAUUGCUGUCGAUGGAAAGGGAUUUCAUGCAACAACCGUACAGGCCACGUUGCAAAGAUGGACCUCCGGAACCCGAAUUAUGAUCCACUCAACGGGAAUACUUCUUUGGGGGGUAACAUCAAUCCUUCUUUGCUUAGCUUAAAGAAGUUGUAUAGCCUUGACCUAAGCGGAAAUGAUUUUGGAGGACUCCGAAUUCCUGAUUUCUUUGGGAAGCUUACAAGUUUGAGGUAUCUUAAUCUCUCCUCUGCUUCAUUUAAGGGAGAGAUUCCCCCAGCUCUUGGUAACCUCUCAAACUUGAACUAUCUUGACCUCAAUACUAAUUACUACUAUGAAGGUUAUUCUUCCAAUAACUUGAAUUGGCUUUCUCAUCUCUCUUCCCUAAAGUACCUCAAUCUUAGAUAUGUGAACCUCAGCAGCACAGGAGUAAGUUGGCUACAUGAUGUCAACAUGCUUCCUUCACUCUUAGAAUUGCAUCUGACUAGUUGCCAAAUUCAAAAGCUUCCACACUCCCAGCAGCUGCAAUCAGUAAACUUCACAUCCCUAUUGGUUCUUGAUAUAUCAUUCAAUGAUAUUAAUUCUUCAUUUCCCAGCUGGUUUUUAAAUCUUACCAACCUCAAAAAACUUGAUGCAUCUGGCAAUUUGUUCGGUCCCAUCCCUGUUGAACUUGCAAACCUCAAGUCUUUGGAAGACUUUAAUUUAUGGGGCAAUUCUGCCCAAGGUCAAAUUCCCAAAGUCUUUGGUAGAUUGUGCAGCCUAAGGAUAUUAGAUCUUUCUGAAAACUCGUUCAGUGGUGGUUUGGAAGAGGUUUUGAAUGGCUUCUCAAACUGCACAAGUCACAGACUAGAGUCGCUUGAUUUGUCCAUCAAUCAGAUAGAAGGUGAACUGCCUGCCGCCUUAGGAGUGCUAGAAAAUCUGAAGGAACUUGACCUUAGUGUAAACAAAUUUUAUGGUUCAAUUCCAGAAUUUAUUGGUAAUUUAUCAUCCUUGGAAAAACUGGCCAUCUCUUGGAAUGAUAUGAAUGGGUCCAUUCCUGCAAGUUUGGGACAACUCUCUCAGCUAGUUCACCUAGAUCUAUCUUCGAAUGAUAUCAAUGGGUCCAUUCCUGCAAGUUUGGGACAACUCUCUCAGCUAGUUCACCUAGAUCUAUCUUCGAAUCAUAUGAAUGGGUCCAUUCCUGCAAGUUUGGGACAACUCUCUCAGCUAGUUCACCUAGAUCUAUCUUUGAAUUCGUGGGAAGGCAUUUUAACAGAAGUCCAUUUCCGAACUCUCACCAAGUUAGAGACUUUUGGUAUAAGCACACAGCAACCUUUCUCCCUCAGUUUGAAUGUGGCUCAUGACUGGGUUCCUCCUUUCCAGCUUGAUUCACUCGACAUUGUUAACUGCAGAGUAGGUCCUGCCUUUGGGAUGUGGCUUCGAUCUCAAACUGAAUUAACGCAUCUCAGGCUCAGAAAUACUGGAAUAUCAGACUCCAUACCAGAGGAAUGGUUCUUGACGAUAUCUUCCAAACUCACAUGUGUGGAUUUGUCCAACAACCAAAUCCGUGGAAAGCUUCCAUUUCACAUGAACUCCCCAUCUUUGUAUUAUAUAGAUCUGAAUCAUAAUGAAUUUGAGGGCCCUCUGCCACAAUGGUCUAGUCCUGCCUCCUAUCUCGAUCUUCGAAGCAACUCUUUUUCCGGGCCAAUUCCCUCAAACUAUGAUCAACUGUUGCCUAAUUUGGAAGAAUUGUCUCUUUCUGACAAUAACCUGAGUGGUAGUAUACCACCCUCUUUAUGCAACAUGUCAAGUUUGAGAUUCCUUAUUUUAAGAAGCAAUCACUUGUCUGGAGACUUCUCUCGAGCAUGGAGUACGUGGCCAUAUAUACAAGCUGUAGAUGUCUCAUACAACGAUUUGACCGGCAAUAUCACCAGUUCAAUGGGUGUCCCGAGCUCACUAUGGGUAUUGAAUCUGAGCAACAACAAUUUCACGGGUCAAAUUCCUUCUUCCUUAUUCCAAAAUUGCACAGAGUUGAUUGGAAACUUGCGAUGGCUAGAAACUCUUGAUCUCUCGCACAAUCACCUCUCCGGACAUAUUCCACACAGUGUCUCUUCAUUAACCUCUUUGUCUCACUUGGACUUGUCUCACAACAACUUGUCCGGAAGAAUUCCUUCAGGUAACCAACUUCAAACACUCAAUGAUUCAUCCAUUUACGAGAGCAAUCCAUCCUUGUGUGGGGUUCCUCUUUCAACUCUCUGCCCGGGAGACGCCGCACUUGCACCAGCUGACUCUGACGAUGAUGAUCAUAAUGAUGAUGAUGAUGAUGAUGAUGAGAAUCGGAAGUUUGGUAUGUAUGUUAGCGGUGCGCUCGGCUUCAUCAUAGGGUUUUGGAGUGUUUGUGGCACAUUGGUUAUGAAGAAAUCAUGGAGGCUAAGCAGCUCUCCCUCCUCUUUUUCUGAUUAUCAUGAGGCUACCACCUUGACAUUGAAGGGACAAGAACUGGUGUAUAACAAGACUCUGCCUUUGGUGAAUACCAUUGAUUUCUCAUCAAAUCACUUAGAUAGCGAAAUCCCUGAAGGUAUAAGCAGCCUCAUUGCCUUGGGGACAUUGAACUUGUCCGUAAUCAUCUAACCGGAAACAUUCCCUUAAAGAUUGGAAAGUUGAGAUGGCUUGAAACUCUUGAUCUCUCGCACAAUCACCUCUCCGGACAUAUUCCACACAGUCUCUCUUCAUUAACCUCUUUGUCUCACUUGAACUUGUCUGACAACAACUUGUCCGGAAGAAUUCCUUCAGGUAACCAACUUCAAACACUCAAUGAUUCAUCCAUUUACGAGAGCAAUCCAUCCUUGUGUGGGGUUCCUCUUUCAACUCUCUGCCCGGGAGACGCCGCACCCGCACCAGCUGAACCUGACGAUGAUGAUCAUAAUGAUGAUGAUGAUGAUGAGAAUCGGAAGUUUGGUAUGUAUGUUAGCGGUGCACUCGGCUUCAUCAUAGGGUUUUGGAGUGUUUGUGGCUCAUUGGUUAUGAAGAAAUCAUGGAGGUAUGCCUAUUUCCGUUUCUUUGAUAACAUACAAGAGAGGACAGAAUUGGCCAUCGCAGUGAGAAUGGCUCGUUGGCAAAGGAAGACUUGAUAAGAUAAGAAAAUCAAAGAAUAAAAUGCACUUUUGGGGGGUACAUAUUUUCAUUCUUUUUUGGUUCGGGUGCUUUUCAUGUGACUGUCCUUUGGUUUGGUGUU